AUCAGCCCUGUGAACAAAAAGAGAAGCACAGAGUCACAGAAUAUCCCGAGCCGGAAGGGAUCCACGAGGAUCAACAAGUCCAAUGCCUGGGUCCCCAAAGGACCACCCAAAAAUCAGACCAUGCGUCUGAGAGCAUUGUCUCAGAGGGAGAAGUGUGCGUAUGUGGGGGGAAAAAAAACAGAAAGGACCUAGUAUCAGUUCUGCACUUACUGGUUAGGAAAUAGUACCAGUUUUUCAGUGUUUUGCUUAACAGCUUUUUCUGCCAGGAGCAUUUUGUUUGUUUGUUUGUUUUAAUUACUGUUAUGAGGUCAUUGCAGCAUACUCUACAGACAAAAGAUCGCACAGUGCUUGGAUAGUGUUUCUUUGUACCUAUUGCCAUUUAUUAGUUUUUGAGGUGUUCUUUCAUCGAUGCCUAUAUCUUUGGAAAGAAUGGAUCUUUGUUUUGGUCUGUGUUCUUACACUUUUUAUGUUUUUCCCUUUAUUUUGAAAAACAAGUGAACAAAAUAAAUAGAACCUAUAGCCAUAUAAGAUCAGGCAAUACCCAAAAGAGAUCAGAUUCUUGUUUGUACUUUACAAAAAAAAAAGAAGAAACUGUAUGCAUAAUAAUAUAUUUGGUGUUAUUUUUGGUAAAUUUCCUCUUACAGAAGAUAUUUUUAAGUAAAAUAUGUAUGGAUCUUUUUAUGGUAAUUAAGAUUUGUUGGGCUUUCUUAAAAUCAUAUUCCAGUGGAAUUAAAUUAUGAAUGUAAAUGAGAAAAACCCAAGCCUAAUCAUGAAAGUGUAAACAGUUUCAGAUUAUAAAUUAUGCUUAAAAAUGUGGUAUCCGACCAUUUUGUAUUUAUACGUAGAUAUAAAUACACGUUGCUGCAUCACUGAUAGCAUUAAAAAGGGGGUGGCUUAAGUGUUGGGUGUCUGAAGAUGCUGCCUCUGUGGACUGGCGUUCAGCGGAGCUGCAGCAGCAAUGGCAUCCUCAGAAGUGCAGCCCUGGAGAAACACAGCGGUGAUGGGCGAGCUCUGCUCCCGCCAGGAGAUGGAGCAGGGGAGGGGCACCCAGGACGGGCACCCAGGACGGGCACCCCAGUCCUCACUGGCACCCACCGCUUCCAGCACGCAGAGGCGCUGGAUGUGCUGGCAUCUUACAUGAACUGUGAGGAAGCGUGCCUUAUGUGAAUGCUUCAGAGGGACUGCAAGGUGCAGGCUGGCUUCCCUGCUGCAAGUGCACAAAGUAGUAGAGAGUAUCUUGCUGGUGCGUGGUUUGCCUUUCCAGAGACACUUGCGGUUUUUAUCUUCUGCAAUGCCGUGCCUCCUUUCCCAGCAGAAGCACAGAAAAAUGUUAAUUCUUACUUGUCUAGAAUGGCAGAUGCCCCCAUUAAACAGAUCACUGUAGGAAUGCAAUUCUGAAAUAGUACAUUUCCACUGUUUGCAAGCCAGAAAAAUGAUAUUUUACUAGUGAGCAGACAUGAAUGUAAAGGGAAGGGUGGAAGAAAAUAAAGUUUUUUUACUUUGAAACUGCCAGAACUUAAACAGGGUAUUUCCCCAUUCUCUCCACCACCAUCUCCAUCAAAGAAAAGGCAUGAAACGUCAGGUUUUCUUGAAGAAGUUGAUUUUCUUAAUGAAAGCCAUAAUUAUGAUCUCACUGAAUAACAGAUACCAAAUAAAAGUCGUCGUCUUGCUCA
Oxyura jamaicensis (ruddy duck) is the source of this 1673-nucleotide long non-coding RNA. RefSeq lists it as uncharacterized. The transcript has 2 exons. The record is from RefSeq and is a predicted model, not a curated record. Lineage: Eukaryota; Metazoa; Chordata; Aves; Anseriformes; Anatidae.